GACGAACGCUGGCGGCGUGCUUAACACAUGCAAGUCGAACGCUGAAGCUCAGCUUUUGUUGGGUGGAUGAGUGGCGAGCGGGUGAGUAACACGUGAGUAACCUGCCCCCUUCUUUGGGAUAACGCCCGGAAACGGGUGCUAAUACUGGAUAUUCACUGGUCUUCGCAUGGGGGUGGGUGGAAGGGGUUUUUCUGGUGGGGGAUGGGCUCGCGGCCUAUAAGCUUGUUGGUGGGGGGAUGGCCUACCAAGGCUUUGACGGGUAGCCGGCCUGAGGGGGUGACCGGGCACAUUGGGACUGGGAUACGGCCCAGACUCCUACGGGAGGGAGCAGUGGGGAAUAUGGGACAAUUGGCGCAAGCCUGAUGCAGCGGCGCCGCGGGAGGGAUGGAGGCCUUCGGGUUGUGAACCUCUUUCGCUCAUGGUCAAGCCGCAACAAUGGUUGUGGUGAGGGUAGUGGGUAAAGAAGCGCCGGCUAACUACGUG
RNAcentral lists this ribosomal RNA (483 nucleotides) under uncultured bacterium. RNAcentral describes it as "partial 16S ribosomal RNA". It matches the Rfam family "Bacterial small subunit ribosomal RNA", at positions 28 to 507 of the family's 1533-position model. The record is from RNAcentral.